UGUGUGUGUGUGUGUUUUAACACCUCGCCUCCCUGCCUGGAUUCUUACUGCGUAAGGGGUAUGCUGUCAGGGCAUUCAUCUCCGAAAGCUGGAGUGAUUGUUAAUGGAGAACGACUUCCAUUGAAGCCCAGGGUAGGCGUGUUACAUGAAUCUGGCGCAGCCAGAACGGAGGAAAUAACUCCCGCUGCGAGUGAGGUUGCAUAACUAUACCGCAGGAGAUGCUUCUAUGGCACGAACUGCACCGAACGGAGGCGGACCGAUUGGAUAGACAGCUGUCAUGAAUGCAUUGUUAGAGGACAAUGUAUGCAUUCAUCUCAAAAGGUUUUUGCACAGAAAUCUACUGGGGUUGUGGGCUGGAGCCUAAGGUCAGCCCAGCCACAGGAGUCAGAGCUCCUGGCUCUGCAAAUUCUAUUAUCUCUUCUCUAUUUAGAAAACCAGCCUUUACAUGAACCGGCCUAGGGGACUGAAUCCCAAGCGCUCCCAAGUUCCUGAUGCAUCUUCCCGGAUUUAAGUCUAGCCCUGCGUGCAAUGUUUUUCUCUUCCUUCUCAGGUUUGUGCGAGCUAAGAAUGAAGGUUGCCGCCGGUGCCACAUUGGAGAGAACAAUUGUCGAGGAAGAAAUGAAGUUGAGAGAACCUCGCAACAAGGCAGCACUCUUCUGCCAUCCCUCUAGGAAACGCAGGAUUGUUGUUCUGAGAAUGAGCGUGCACAGUAGUGCACUGAUAACAGUGUUUUGCAUGUAGCAGGUGCUUAAUAAAUGUUCAACGAAUGAACAAAGGCGCUAAACCAGUCAGUGUGCCCCAAAACCACCCGAUUGAUUUCUGAGGACUACUGUUAACCAGUUAGACUGCUCAAGUUUCAAUCAAGUCCCAUCAGAGCUCAAAGUCUUCUAUGCUGAAGCAGUCAGAAAUGGUGCUACUGCUUAGAGCCAAGAGAUCUUCUAGUCUGUCAAUCACUGGCGGCUCUAUAGAGGCCUCAACUGAUCUAUCUGGGUGUCUGGACCUUAGGAGGUAAAGAGGCAUGGUAACCAAAGACAAUGUGUGAGGCCUUAUUUGGAUCGUGACUUGAACAAAUAUUUUUAAAUUUGGGACAACGGGAGAAAUUUGAACAUUAACUGGAGAUUUGAUGAUAACAAGGAAUUCUUUUUUAAGUAUUGGUUUAUGGCUGUGUUUUCUUUAAGUCCUUACCAUUCAGAAAUAUGUACCCUAAAAUAUUUAGAGAUGAAAUGUUAUGCUUCAGAAUAAUCCACUGGGGUGAGGCAUAGGAAGAAUGAGUAAGGAUAUAGAUGAAACAAGAUUGAUUAUAGAUUAAUGAUGAACACCUUCUGUUUACUAUUUUAUAAUUUAAAAUGUUCUGUAACAAUUUUUUUAAAAUACACUGCAAGUACUUACUUAAAAUGCAGAUUCCUAGACCUCAGCUCAGAAAUUGUGAUCACUAGGUCUGUAAUGGGGCCAACCGUGCUUUUCUAAGUCUGCUAGGUACUUGGCCCUUUUUAGUCCUUCAUUGUCUACUCCCCAUUUCCUUGCAACCAUUUUUGUCAUCUCGUCCCCCAGCACAUCCCUGAUUGAAAGCUGUGUUCCAGCAACACAGAAAAGGGUAGCCCAUGGUAUAUCAUAAGCUUAGAUAGAUACUGAUCAAGGCCAGAGGGCUAGUUCAGUUCAGAAAGGUAGAUCCAGCCAAACUUGAAAAGCUAUGUGAGAAUCUAAAUACAGAUCACAGUUCUGUCUUAAGUGCCAACUCCGUUCAAUUAGUACUAGUCAAGAAGAAUUCCAUGGCCACAUUAGGGCUCAGCAAGAAAAGAAAUACUUAUAUAUGCUCAGUUGUGUUUUGUAGGUGGACCUGUGGGAAGGAAGCUAGUCACAAAACCGGUUAUCACAACUAUCUGUAUUAUUGUGCUCAGCUUUAGGAAUUAGUCACAACCGUUUGAUGACCUGUUAGAAGUAAUUAAUUAUCAAUAGCAUAAUUGGGCCAAAGAGGGAGGAACAGGAGCACAAUUGCCAAGUAAUUGCCAGUAUAGGAUCUGAUCCAAGUUAAGAAAGGCACAAGUGGAUUCUGAGUUCCUUGUAGGUAUCAGACCAGGGUUUCUUCACAAGGACAGCAAAAUGUAGGCUAUUCUCACUGAGACGCUGGCAGAUGACAUGCCCUUCUCCAAAUCAGUUUCUUUUCUUUUUUUCACAUUGCUCAGGCCAUAGUAAUCAUUUUUCUUAUGAAUUCAGACUUGGUCUUCUCAGAUUAUUUUUCCCUUUGCUGUUUACACUUGUGUUGCUAAUUAUUAUUAUAUUAUUGCUGAUUCAUUUUUUAUGAGUUUAUAUUUGUUUUCCGAGUUAAAUUUUCGUGACUGGAAGGUAGAGGCUGCCCUUCAUAUUUUUGGCAUCCUUUUUAGCAGUGGUUUUAAGUAAUAGAUGCUUUUUAGGUGAAACACUAUGCCAAGGCCUGGAUUAUGUAUAAAAAGGAAGCUGUACUGACUCACACUGGAGUAGAAAUCAGGAAUCCUCUCUGGCUUCCCAUUGGGAUUUAAUACUACUGCAGUUUAGCAUUUCACAUACACUGUGCCUUGUACUAUAAGCUCUCAGCAGAUAUUUGUAUUCUUGAGAAGCCAAAAGACAACCAGGCCAACAUGUGAGUUUCUAAAAGUACAUAAAAUACAAGUGCACAUUUGCAUUUCUAAAAUUACCCUUAACAUUACUCCUUAGCAGAUGUAAUUAAAACUUUGUAUUUUAAAACGAGUUAAUGUAUGCAUAGAUCAAUGGAAGCUCCCUACUUUCAUGGUGUACUUUGUUUAAUAAAUGUUUUUUGUUGUUGUUUUUUUUUUUUAGUUUAACCAGUCUCAGGGCUAAUGAGCCCUGCCUCUCAGUGGAAUUACUAAGUGGUAACCAUGUUUCUAAAUAGUUUCCUUGCCUCUGGCAUGAGUCUGCUGCUCCAUCACUAGGAUUUCCAUGUUCUUUCAAACUAAUACAAAGUAUAAAGGAUAAGUAUGCUAUUUUCCUUUUAUCCCUAAGGACUGCAAUUGUUGGCUUGGUAGUAUCCGGUGAGUGUGAAAUCAGUUUACUUUUAGUGCUAUAACUGCCUUUUACAGGAAGUUUCCACAAGAUUAGGAUGAGUACAAGGGAAAUGAGCAGGCUGCAAUUUCCUUUAUUUUCUGUAUAAUCUUAGCAGGGAGGAUGCUUACCAGACCCUACACUGCUAAAUAAAGCACUUACCAUUAUUCUUCCAAAUGGCUUUAGAAUGCUCAUUCUUUAAAGGUUAUAUCCCACUACAACAAAUAUGAAGGAUUGAAAUACCCGUCAUAAAAGAAUCCAAGACCACAUGCAAUACAAAUUUGGUACAACAAAAGAUUAUAGGUUGGUUCCUUGGAUUUCGCUUCAAGUAUGGCAUUGCCUUCUCUUUUAAUGACUGCUAAUUAACCAUUGUAUAGGAUUACAACAGGAUUACAUUUAAAAAGUACAUUGCCCUUCAGGAACUUACCUUCCUAACACCCUUGGCCAGUAGGUAUUAUUAUUAACUCCAAUUUACAAAGUGACUUGCAAACAAGAUCAGAGAGGUCCCAGAGGUUACACAGUAGUAAAGGCAUGGCUCGAGGUCAAACCCAUAUCAUCCUCUCCUUCAAAAUUCUGUGUGCAUG
Long non-coding RNA from Cebus imitator (Panamanian white-faced capuchin), 3620 nucleotides. RefSeq lists it as uncharacterized. The transcript has 3 exons. The record is from RefSeq and is a predicted model, not a curated record. NCBI's taxonomy places the organism in Eukaryota, Metazoa, Chordata, Mammalia, Primates, Cebidae.